UACAGAGGUGGCAAGCGUUGUUCGGAAUUACUGGGCGUAAAGGGCGCGUAGGCGGCCUACUAAGUCAGACGUGAAAUCCCCCGGCUUAACCUGGGAACUGCGUCUGAUACUGGAAGGCUUGAGUAUGGGAGAGGGAUGUAGAAUUUCAGGUGUAGCGGUGAAAUGCGUAGAUAUCUGAAGGAACAUCAGUGGCGAAAGCGACUUCCUGGACCAAUACUGACGCUCAUGUGCGAAAGCGUGGGGAGCAAACAGG
This 253-nucleotide ribosomal RNA is filed under the name uncultured bacterium. Its description in RNAcentral is "partial 16S ribosomal RNA". It matches the Rfam family "Bacterial small subunit ribosomal RNA", at positions 524 to 776 of the family's 1533-position model. The record is from RNAcentral.